Long non-coding RNA from Betta splendens (Siamese fighting fish), 1492 nucleotides. RefSeq lists it as uncharacterized. The transcript has 2 exons. The record is from RefSeq and is a predicted model, not a curated record. NCBI's taxonomy places the organism in Eukaryota, Metazoa, Chordata, Actinopteri, Anabantiformes, Osphronemidae.
CACCUCUGUGGACAGGUGGGACAUGUAAUGCAUGAAGGACUUACAAUAGGUAAGAUAGUUUCAAUAUAACAGUAUAAUAUUACAUUGCUUUAGAUAUACAUUUAUUAUUUUAUAUAUUACUAUUCUAAGCUCUAGAAGUGAAGUUUUAUAUUUAAACAUAGCUCUUGUGUGGUGAGGAAGUGUUUGACUAUGACUAAAUUAAAUUCAGAAGUAAAACACACCUUGUGUUUCUUGCUUGUGAACUUCUCCAGGUUUCUCCAAGGCAACAGAGACCGUUGAUUUAGACUAAUAAAAACAAAAAAGAUGGUAAAAUACUCAGAAGAAAUUUUUUCCAAAAAGGUGAUAUCAGAUCUUCCAGAAGUAUGUGUCUCCUCUUACAGCUCUUGUAAUCUUUUUGGGCAUCUCAACUUGGCGAAGAGUCUGAGAUGAUUCGGUCACACUGCGAUGACGAGUGAGCAAUGCACUCCUACACAAACAAACGGAGCGAUUCCGCAGGUCCUGCAGACCAUCCUUGCUGUCCAAAGCCAGGCUGAGGGAGGGAGGUGAGGAGGCAGAAGGGGAAAUGCUGUCCUUGGCAACAGACUCAUCACUGAAAAAGUCAGCAGGCAGAACGGCCACCAGCGCCUCAGGAAGCUGAGUGCCCAGACUGUGGUAGAUGUCUGCAAGCACCCUGGGGACAGUGGUCAGGAAGCUGCCAGGAUACACAAGAGUUCAUUCCAGGCUCUUACAACUGUAGGUUACGUACAAAAUUAUUUAUUUAACUUUCAAAGUUGUAAAUGUUUAUGUUGUGAGUACAGAGAGCCAUGAUAAACCAAAACAGUUCGAGUAUUGGUUGAACUCAUUAUGUUGUGUAUUGUGGGAGCUACAUGAAGCCCAAAUACAUACGCUGGGAGAACAUCAUCCUGAAGGAACCUUGUCAUGCAAACUGGGUCUUUAGUUAGAGAGAUGAUCCUCAACAUUUCAGCCACCUACAAAACAGAAGGUCAAUGGUGUUUCUGUGUGUUUAGAGCUCUACAAUCAGAGAACAUAGACAUCAUUAGUUCGAGGUGGUACCUCUUCUGCCAUCUGAUCACCAUCUAGUGAGCCAGAUUGCGCCAAAGACAAAACUCUGCACAACUCCAGCCGCAGCACUGCUUGAAGCUGGCACCUAGAGGAAACAAUUCAUUACUGAUGAACUACACAAAAAAAUAGUUGCCUGGCUCAAGGAAUAAAUGGCCACGUAGUGAGAUUUUACUCAGUCUGAUAAAACUUAAGAUAUUACUCACUCUUUAACUUUGCUAUCAACAUCACUGCAUGUGCCAUAGAACUGCCUUAGUGAUUUGCUGGUCUUGAGGAGGUGCUGCUUAACAAACUCUGAGGUCUUUACCUGUUAUGGAGAUAUCAUUUUAGAAACUGAAUCACUGGCCAACUGUGGUGCACUGUAAUGUUACUUCCUCCAUGUUAAAUGUGCAAACUGCCGCUUUCACAACAUAAAACUUAAAACCUGACAUUA